UCUAGAAUAGCUUAAAGAUAAAGCGCUGAUUUUGUAACUCAGAGAUAAAUAUUUUUUUUUUCUAGAU
RNAcentral lists this transfer RNA (67 nucleotides) under Asteronotus hepaticus. RNAcentral's name for it is "tRNA-Thr". It matches the Rfam family "tRNA". Rfam says of the family: Transfer RNA (tRNA) molecules are approximately 80 nucleotides in length. Their secondary structure includes four short double-helical elements and three loops (D, anti-codon, and T loops). The record is from RNAcentral. Lineage: Eukaryota; Metazoa; Mollusca; Gastropoda; Nudibranchia; Asteronotidae.